GAUGAACGCUGGCGGUAUGCUUAACACAUGCAAGUCGAACGGACUCUUCGGAGUUAGUGGCGGACGGGUGAGUAACGCGUGAGAAUCUGGCUUUGGGUUCGGGACAACCACUGGAAACGGUGGCUAAUACCGGAUGUGCCGAGAGGUAAAAGAGAAAUUGCCUGAAGAUGAGCUCGCGUCUGAUUAGCUAGUUGGUGAGGUAAAGGCUCACCAAGGCAGCGAUCAGUAGCUGGUCUGAGAGGAUGACCAGCCACACUGGGACUGAGACACGGCCCAGACUCCUACGGGAGGCAGCAGUGGGGAAUUUUCCGCAAUGGGCGAAAGCCUGACGGAGCAAUACCGCGUGAGGGAAGAAGGCUCUCGGGUUGUAAACCUCUUUUCUUAGGGAAGAACAAAAUGACGGUACCUAAGGAAUCAGCAUCGGCUAACUCCGUG
RNAcentral lists this ribosomal RNA (435 nucleotides) under uncultured bacterium. RNAcentral's name for it is "partial 16S ribosomal RNA". It matches the Rfam family "Bacterial small subunit ribosomal RNA", at positions 28 to 507 of the family's 1533-position model. The record is from RNAcentral.